Molecule: transfer RNA, 56 nt
Filed under: Nematodirus spathiger
Lineage: Eukaryota; Metazoa; Nematoda; Chromadorea; Rhabditida; Molineidae
Description: tRNA-Ile
Source: RNAcentral
AUUUUAUUAGUAUAAUUGUAUUACGUUAUCUUGAUAAGGUAGAGGUUAAUAAAGUA